Acanthosepion pharaonis is the source of this 104-nucleotide non-coding RNA. The record is from the annotation of a GenBank genome assembly. Lineage: Eukaryota; Metazoa; Mollusca; Cephalopoda; Sepiida; Sepiidae.
ACGGCCACAUCACGUUGAAACACCGAUUCCCGUACGAUCACCCAAGUUAAGCAACGUCGAGCCUGGUCAGUACGUAGAUGUUUGGGAAUAUCAGGUGCUGUAAG